RNAcentral lists this non-coding RNA (148 nucleotides) under Nomascus leucogenys (northern white-cheeked gibbon). The record is from Rfam by way of RNAcentral. Lineage: Eukaryota; Metazoa; Chordata; Mammalia; Primates; Hylobatidae.
GCCAGGUGUGGUGGUGCACACCUGUGGUCCCAGCUACUUAGGAGGCUGAGGCGGGAGGAUCGCUUGAGCCUGGGAUGUUGGGGCUGCAGUGAGCCAAGAUCAUGCCACUGCACUCCAGCCUGGGUGACAGAGUAAGACCCUGUUUCCA